AGAGUUUGAUCCUGGCUCAGAUUGAACGCUGGCGGCAUGCCUUACACAUGCAAGUCGAACGGUAACGCGGGGCAACCUGGCGACGAGUGGCGAACGGGUGAGUAAAGCAUCGGAACGUGCCCAGUAGUGGGGGAUAGCCCGGCGAAAGCCGGAUUAAUACCGCAUACGACCUAAGGGUGAAAGGGGGGGAUCGCAAGACCUCUCGCUAUUGGAGCGGCCGAUGUCAGAUUAGCUAGUUGGUGGGGUAAGAGCUCACCAAGGCGACGAUCUGUAGCUGGUCUGAGAGGACGACCAGCCACACUGGGACUGAGACACGGCCCAGACUCCUACGGGAGGCAGCAGUGGGGAAUUUUGGACAAUGGACGAAAGUCUGAUCCAGCCAUGCCGCGUGCGGGAAGAAGGCCUUCGGGUUGUAAACCGCUUUUGUCAGGGAAGAAAUCCUUUGAGCUAAUACCUCGGGGGGAUGACGGUACCUGAAGAAUAAGCACCGGCUAACUACGUGCCAGCAGCCGCGGUAAUACGUAGGGUGCAAGCGUUAAUCGGAAUUACUGGGCGUAAAGCGUGCGCAGGCGGUUAUGUAAGACAGAGGUGAAAUCCCCGGGCUCAACCUGGGAACUGCCUUUGUGACUGCAUAGCUUGAGUGCGGCAGAGGGGGAUGGAAUUCCGCGUGUAGCAGUGAAAUGCGUAGAUAUGCGGAGGAACACCGAUGGCGA
Molecule: ribosomal RNA, 713 nt
Filed under: uncultured Leptothrix sp.
Lineage: Bacteria; Pseudomonadati; Pseudomonadota; Betaproteobacteria; Burkholderiales; Sphaerotilaceae
Description: bacterial SSU rRNA
Rfam family: Bacterial small subunit ribosomal RNA
Source: RNAcentral